Long non-coding RNA from Homo sapiens (human), 750 nucleotides. Ensembl annotates it as MIR3681 host gene. Lineage: Eukaryota; Metazoa; Chordata; Mammalia; Primates; Hominidae. The record is from Ensembl.
AGUGCAGAGGGAAAUUGACACAGCCAUGAUGAGGCCUGGCUCACAAGAGCCAUAGUUACUGUAGGAGUUUCUGUGGCUAAAUAUGCUUAGCUAUUGAGGCAAGGACAUGUGCUGGAUGUGUAUGCAGUCUUUGAAGCUGGAGAGGCCUGUGUUGGAAACUGUGCUCUGUCCCAUGCCAGUUCCCUGACCUUGGCACCCCAAGGGGCCGUCCUUCCUACCCCCAGCCCUGUGAGUCAUCUUCAUUGAGUUCCAAGAAUCCCCGCGCAGCUGUGCAGCUGUACAUUGCAUGCUGACACUGAAUGAGCAGUGACUGGACGCUGCCUUCCAUGUGGGACACGAGCCUUCAAUGCCUGAUAAAGCCUGAAAGCCACAAUCUGCCCUGGAAACCCAGCUCCACCCUGCUUCCACUACAUCAGGAGGUGAAGGAGGAAAUUGAAAGUGUGAAACACCAGUGGGAGGAAAAGGUUCCUGUAACAAAUGUGGUUAUCAAUGGGAAAGAAGCUUUCUAGAGCUUAUAUACGGGGCCGAGUCAUGCACACUUCAUCAUACUCACCAGGGGACGACCCAGACCAUCAUUCUUCUCUGGUCUGCCACCUUCAUCCUCCACUUGCAGCCUCCUUUGCAGUGACCAUACAGGUCUGAAAUCCAGGUCACAGAGCCCUAACAUAACUACAAAGGAUCCUGAAAAGUGUUGUAUUCCAGUGUGCCUCGGAAAAGAAAAUAGGAUUAAUAAACUUUGAUUAGACUAAA